Molecule: long non-coding RNA, 5565 nt
Filed under: Elaeis guineensis (African oil palm)
Lineage: Eukaryota; Viridiplantae; Streptophyta; Magnoliopsida; Arecales; Arecaceae
Description: long non-coding RNA (EGUI_LNC034344)
Source: RNAcentral
CCGCAUAUGUGCUUGCAUGCUGCAUAUGCAUCAUGCAGUGAUGGAAAAUAAGUCAGAUAGUUUCUCAGAUCCAGCUAGAUAUUUUCAGCAGAUAUUUCCUUAGAUUAUUCCAGAAUUUCUCAAUCAAAUUUUCAAGUCAUCCUAAGAUUCAUUUAGCCUUUCCGGAGUCUGUUUUUAUUAGGCUGCAUUUAUUAGUUACGAGUCUAGUUCCAAGGUCAUUUAUUAGUCAAAAGUCUGGUCCAAGGGUCUAUAACUAUCCCAAAACUUGUAAGUCUAUAUAAGGUCCAUUGUAUGCAUUUUCAGAUCAGUCAAAAAAUAUUUUAGAGUCUGAAAUUAUCUGAUACCUUUUCUAGAGUUGUUUACUAAAUUUUCUGGAUUUGAUCUUAUCUAAGUUCUAUCCAAGGAGGUGGACUCCUCCCACACUCCAUCCCCCUUCAAAUUCUCACCCAUGUCCCCUUUAUUUUCUGUUAAUUAAACCCUGGGCUGCAUUAGUUUGGUAUCAGAGCAAGGUUGCCAUCAGUAAUUGUGCUCUAAUGGCCACUAGAAGUGGAACGGAAUACUGCAGGAAGCUCACGGAUCACCAAAGAGAUGAUUCACUUUUACAGAUUGCUUAACAACUCCAAGAUCUCUUUGCUUGUGUGACUAACCUGGAGAUAGAAAGGGCAACAGCUCCAGAAAACCCAAGACCUGAGGCUGACAAUGAAAAUCAUGAAGAUGUUUAAGAGGUAGAAGCUGGCGAUGCAGGCGCACCAAGAAGAAUUAUGCAUCAACAUCCAGUCCAACAUAAUCAACCUCAGCCUGUUGUUGAGAGGGGGCUGGCCGGGAACUAUCGACAGAUAUUCCAGCAACACAGGGCCUAUGAUGACAUUACCAAGAAGGUUAAGAUUGAUGUUCCGGAUUUUUUGAGGAAGCUUGACCCUCAUUCCUUCACUGAUUGGACAACGACAAUGGAAGACUAUUUUAAUUGGUACGAGAUGUCUGAAGAUCGAAAGGUUAGAUUUGUGAAAUGAAACUAAAGGGGCAACCACGUAUGUGGUGGUGUAGCACUGAAAAGCGGCUCAAUAGACUUGGGCAGCCUCCUAUAAUUCAUUGGGAGGAAAUGAAGCUCAAGUUACCAGAGAAGUAUCUUCCUCUUGGUUAUGAGGACUCAAUUUAUGAUGAAUUAUUGCAGUCACGGCAAGGAGCAAUGAUAGUCGAAGAAUACACGGAGAAGUUCAAUGACUUAUCAUUCAGUGCCAUGUUGAUGAAGAUGACCAUCAACUUUUGUCUCGAUAUAAGAUGAGAUUACCUGCCAAAAUUAAGCAGGAGUUAACGACGGUGCGCCUCUUUAGUGUGGAUGAAACUGAUCAAAUGGCUCUUAAAAUUGAAGAACAGUUAAGGCAGACACACAAGAAGUUCUGUACCUCAAUUAGGGGACCUUGUUGCCAGGAAUUAGGAACUCAACAGACUGCAGUUAAAAGCAAAUUUUAGCAAAAGUCUUCCUGGAACUUCAGAUUUUGCAUGAAGAAUUGUUGCAGAAACUUCCAGCAAACAGGAGAGACAAAUUGAGUGUUAUAAGUGUGGAGAAAGGGCCAUUUUGCAAAAUUGUGUCCAAGCAAGAAUCUGACUUUCUGUGGAGAGGAAGAGGCUGCUGACAUUCAAGAAGAAAAUGAUACGGUGCAAGCCCUUGAAGAACAAGAAGAUGAUAUCGAUGAAGUUGCAGGAGUAAAACAAGUGUCAAUGAUGAUGUGGCAACUCUUAAUAGCACCAAAAGAAGCAUGUGAAGACCAUUGGCUUUGCGCCAGUAUAUUUCACACCAAUGUUGAACGUAGCGAUCAAGUUGUGAAGCUCAUCAUUGAUGGAGAUAGCUGCACAAAUAUUGUUUCACAAGCACUUGUUGACAAACUCAAGCUAAAGCCCUGACAACACCCGGAACCCCACAAAGUUGCUUGGAUCAAUGAUACCUCUCUUCUAGUUAUAAAGCAAUGCUUGGUAACAUUUUCAACUGGAGAUCGAUAUAAAAAAAACAGUAUGGUGUGAUGUCAUUCCAAUGUAGGUUGCUCAUAUUCUGUUAGGAAGGCCAUGGCAAUAUGACAGGAAAAUACUACAUGAUGGGGAAGCGAAUAUUGACACCUUGUACCAGUGGAGGAAGAUCAGGUUGAUGCCCAUGAAAGAUGAAGAGUCCAAGGUGAAGCAAUUAGCCGAAAAGAAAGAAGUAAAGGCGUUAUCCAUAAAGAGGUUCGAAGGAGAGAGCAAGAAGGAAGAUCUUACCUAUGCAUUGGUUGUAAUGGAGAAACAGGAGAGCAAUCAACAUCAACUACCUAAUUCAGAUUUUGAUAUUCAGCAAAUAUUAUCAGAAUUUGUUGACUUAAUUCCUGAGGAGUUGCCAAAAGGACUUCCCCCGAUGCGUGAAAUUCAACAUGCAAAUUGAUCUUGUACCUGGAGCUUCACUUCCAAACUUGCCGACCUAUCGAAUGAGCCCAACUGGACAUGAAGAAUUAAGAAGGCAAGUUGAAGAUCUUCUUUCUAAAGGUUUCAUCAGAGAAAACCUCAACCCCUGUGCUGUUCCAGCAUUAUUGAUGCCAAAGAAAGAUGGAUCUUGGAGGAUGUGCAUCAAUAGUCGAGCCAUAAAUAAAAUAACCAUCAAGUACCAGCUUCCUAUACCUAGACUUGAUGAUAUGCUUGACUUAAUGGCUGGAGCAAAGGUGUUUUCAAAAAUUGACCUCAGGAGUGGUUAUCAUCAAAUCAGAAUUCAUCCAGGUGACGAAUGAAAAAUAGCUUUCAAGACAAAAGAUGGUCUCUAUGAAUGGUUGGUGAUGCCAUUUGGGAUUACAAAUGCACCAAGCACCUUCAUGAGGAUAAUGACACAUCUCCUACGGCCCUAUACCGGAAUAUUUGUGGCAAUAUACUUCAAUGAUAUACUGAUUUACACCAGCAACAGAGAGCAACACCUGACUCACCUUAAAAAGGUUUUGAUGACUUUACGGGUGGAGAAUUUCUAUAUCAAUUUGAAGAAGUGUGCAUCCUUAACUGAUUGUGUCAGUUUCUUGAGAUUUAUUAUUUCUUCUGAAGGCAAUAAGGCCGAUCCUGAAAAGGUGAAGGCUAUUCUUGAUUGGCCUACACCAACCAGAUUAAGUGAAGUAAGAAGCUUUGAUGGAUUAGCCACUUUUUAUCGGUGUUUCAUUCGCAAUCUUAGCUCCAUCAUGGCACCAAUUACAGAAUGCCUAAAGAAAGGAAAUUUUGUGUGGAUGAGGGCAGUUGAUCAGGCUUUUCAAGAAAUAAAGAUGAAGAUGAUAGAAACAUGUCUUAAAAAGUCCAGAUUUAGAUAAGGUGUUCGAGCUCACUUGUGAUGCAUCACAUUUAGGCAUUGGUGCAGUCCUUAGCCAACAAGGGCAUCCUAUUGCUUAUCAUAGUGAGGAACUCAAUGAAGCAAAGAAGAAAUACUUGACUUAUGACCUUGAGUUCUAUGCUAUAGUCCAAGCUGUCAAGCAUUGGAAGCAUCAUUUAUCUUACAAGGAAUUCAUCUUAUAUUCCGGCCAUGAGGCAUUGAAGUAUCUUAAUUCCCAGAGGCACCUAAGCUCCAAGCAUGCCAAGUGGGGUGCUUAUUUGCAACAAUUUUUCUACGUGAUCGGACAUUAUUCAGGUGCUGAAAAUAAGGCAGCAGAUGCUCUCAGUCAGAAGGCAACCGUGCUGGCUGUUAUGUCUAUCAAAGAGGCUAGUUUUGAAGAGUUAGAAAAUAAGUAUGCAAGUGAUCCCUAUUUUGGGACAAUUUAUACAGAUUUGCAGCAAAACGUGGCUGUUACUCAUCCUCAUUUUAGUUUGAGGAACGGUUCUCUUUUCUAUGGUAACUGAUUAUGCUUGCCAAAUACUUCAACUCAUGAUUUUGUCGUUUGGGAGUUACAUUCAGGAGGACUAGCUGGACACUAUGGACAUGACAAGACAACAUCCUUGGUGGAGGAUAGAUUCUAUCGGCCACGGCUAAGGUGUGAUGUUGAAAAGAUUAUUCGGCAAUGACGUGUUUGUCAAGUUUCAAAGGAUCACAAGCAGAAUUCAAGGCUCUAUACACCUCUUCCAGUGCCUCAAGUACCAUGGGAAGAUUUAUAUAUGAAUUUUGUUUUAGGGCUUCCUAAAACAACUAGAGGGUACAACUCAAUCUUUGUCGUGGUACAUAGAUUUUCAAAAAUGGCCCAUUUUAUUCCCUGUUGGAAGGCAUCAAAUGCAUCAAAAAUUGCCCAAAUCUUCUUCUACGAAGUAGUGAGGUUACAUGGUCUUCCUAAAUCCUAAGACCAUAGUUUCUGAUGGAUAUGCUAAAUUUGUAAGCUACUUCUGGAAAUCCUAUGGAAACUUAUGGGUACACAACUGAAGUUUUUUAAUGCCUACCAUCCACAAACUGAUGAUCAAACGGAGGUCAUCAAUCGCAGUUUGGGCAAUCUUUUGCGCUGUCUUGUGGGGCAAAAUAUGAAAUCAUGGGAUCUGAUCUUGCCAACAGCAGAAUUUGCUUACAAUAGUAGUGUUAACAGAAGUACAGGAUGGUCUCCUUUCGAGAUUGUCACAGGUUUAAAGCCACGGCAACCUAUCAACCUUGUUCCAUUACCUAUUGAAGGCCGGACCAGUCAAGAAGCUGAGGAUUUUGGUAAGCAUAUCCAUGAGAUUCAUGAAGAAGUGAGGAAGAAAAUUGCUGCCAGUAAUGAGCAAUACAAGUCUGAUGCAGACAAGCACAGAAGAUUUGUAGAGUUUCAAGUAGGAGAUAAAGUGCUUGUUCGCCUGAGGCCAAAAUACUUUCUAAAGGGGGCAUUCCAAAAGCUUCAUUUAAGAAAAGCAGGCACUUUCAAAGUGCUAAAGCGACUUGCAGGAAAUGCUCAUUUACUUGAACUGCCCGAGGAGCUUACUAUCAGUCCAAUUUUUAAUGUUGAGGAUCUUAGUCCUUGUUAUGGCGAUAAUGAGGAAGCUCCAUCAGUUAUUUCAACUCCGAGACUUCCAGAGGUGCCAAAGAACAUGGAUGUCAUUGAAGAUGUUCUUAAUAAACAGAUUGUCUCCACCAAAAAUGGGAGAUACAAGAAGUUUCUUAUCAAAUGGAAAGGAAAGCCAAUUUCUAAGAGUACUUGGAUUAUUGCUUCAGAUUUUCAGUGCUGUGACCCAGAACUUUUUGAUCGAUAUCAACCUUUUCACUAGUCGGAGACGAGUUCUUUCCAACAGAGGGAGGAUUGAUGGAAAAUAAGUCAGAUAGUUUCUUAGAUUCAGCUAGAUAUUUUCAGCAGAUAUUUCCUUAGAUUAUUCUAGAAUUUCUCAGUCAAAUUUUCAGGUUAUCCUAAGAGUCAUUUAGUCUUUCCAGAGUGUUUUUAUUAGGAUGCAUUUAUUAGUUAAGAGUCUAGUCCCAAGGUCAUUUAUUGGUCAAAAGUCUGGUCUGAAGGUCUGUAACUAUCCUGAAACUUCUAAGAGUCUAUAUAAGGUCCAUCGUAUGCAUUUUCAGAUAGUGAAAAAAUAUUUACAGAGUCUGAAAUAAACUGGUACUUUUUCCAGAGUCGUUUACUAAGUUUUCUGGAUUUGAUCUUAUCUAAGGUCUAUCCAAGGAGGUGGACUCCUCCC